GACGAACGCUGGCGGCGUGCUUAACACAUGCAAGUCGAACGGAAAGGCCCUGCUUGCAGGGUACUCGAGUGGCGAACGGGCGAGUAACACGUGGGUGAUCUGCCCUGCACUUCGGGAUAAGCCUGGGAAACUGGGUCUAAUACCGGAUAGGAGCCAUAUUUAGUGGGAUGGUUGGAAAGUUUUUUCGGUGUAGGAUGAGCUCGCGGCCUAUCAGCUUGUUGGUGGGGUAAUGGCCUACCAAGGCGGCGACGUGUAGCCGGCCUGAGAGGGUGGACGGCCACACUGGGACUUAGAUACGGCCCAGACUCCUACGGGAGGCAGCAGUGGGGAAUCUUGCACGAGGGGCGCAAGCCGGAUGCAGCGACGCCGCGUGGCGGAUGACGGUCUUCGUGUUGUAAACUCCUUUCGCUAGGGACGAAGCUUUUUGUGACGGUACCUAGACAAGAAGCACCGGCUAACUACGUG
RNAcentral lists this ribosomal RNA (465 nucleotides) under uncultured bacterium. RNAcentral describes it as "partial 16S ribosomal RNA". It matches the Rfam family "Bacterial small subunit ribosomal RNA", at positions 28 to 507 of the family's 1533-position model. The record is from RNAcentral.